Molecule: unclassified non-coding RNA, 341 nt
Filed under: soil metagenome
Description: partial contains 5.8S ribosomal RNA, internal transcribed spacer 2, and large subunit ribosomal RNA
Rfam family: 5.8S ribosomal RNA (bases 1-120)
Source: RNAcentral
GAUGAAGAACGUAGCGAAAUGCGAUAAGUAAUGUGAAUUGCAGAAUCCAGUGAAUCAUCGAAUCUUUGAACGCACAUUGCGCCCGCCAGCAUUCUGGCGGGCAUGCCUGUUCGAGCGUCAUUUCAACCCUCGACCUCCCUUUGGGGAAGUCGGCGUUGGGGACCGGCAGCACACCGCCGGCCCUGAAAUGGAGUGGCGGCCCGUCCGCGGCGACCUCUGCGUAGUAAUCCAACUCGCACCGGAACCCCGACGCGGCCACGCCGUAAAACACCCAACUUCUGAACGUUGACCUCGAAUCAGGUAGGACUACCCGCUGAACUCAAGCAUAUCUAAGCGGAGGA